RNAcentral lists this transfer RNA (84 nucleotides) under Sedimenticola thiotaurini. It matches the Rfam family "tRNA". From Rfam's summary of the family: Transfer RNA (tRNA) molecules are approximately 80 nucleotides in length. Their secondary structure includes four short double-helical elements and three loops (D, anti-codon, and T loops). The record is from Rfam by way of RNAcentral. Lineage: Bacteria; Pseudomonadati; Pseudomonadota; Gammaproteobacteria; Chromatiales; Sedimenticolaceae.
GCCGGGGUGGUGAAAUUGGUAGACACAGGGGAUUCAAAAUCCCCCGGGGGCAACCCCUUGUCGGUUCGAGUCCGACCCUCGGUA